RNAcentral lists this unclassified non-coding RNA (1453 nucleotides) under uncultured fungus. RNAcentral describes it as "sequence contains 18S rRNA gene, ITS1, 5.8S rRNA gene, ITS2, 28S rRNA gene". The stretch from base 526 to 1453 matches the Rfam family "Eukaryotic large subunit ribosomal RNA", at positions 1 to 961 of the family's 3401-position model. The record is from RNAcentral. Lineage: Eukaryota; Fungi.
GGAGGGAUCAUUACCGAGUUGCAAAACUCCCAAACCCACUGUGAACCAAUACCACUGUUGCUUCGGCGGACACGCCCCGGGCGCACCCUCUCAGGGGGUGUGCCCCGGAACCAGGCGCCCGCCGGGGGACCGAAACCUCUGUAUUUACCAUUUGAGUACUCUGAGUGUGAUUUACAAAAUCAAAAUUAAAACUUUCAACAACGGAUCUCUUGGCUCUAGCAUCGAUGAAGAACGCAGCGAAAUGCGAUAAGUAAUGCGAAUUGCAGAAUUCAGUGAAUCAUCGAAUCUUUGAACGCACAUUGCGCCCGCCAGUAUUCUGGCGGGCAUGCCUGUCUGAGCGUCGUUUCGACCCUCGCGCCCGGCUUCUGUCGGGGGCGGUGUUGGGGAUCGGCCACACCCUUUACUGGGCGGCCGUCCCCUAAAUCCAGUGGCGACCACGCUGUAGCCUCCCCUGCGUAGUACUAAAACCACCUCGCAGGCGGAGAGCGGUGCGGCCCGCCGUAAAACCCCCAACUUUUACAAGGUCGACCUCAGAUCAGGUAGGAAUACCCGCUGAACUUAAGCAUAUCAAUAAGCGGAGGAAAAGAAACCAACAGGGAUUGCCUCAGUAACGGCGAGUGAAGCGGCAACAGCUCAAAUUUGAAAUCUGGCCUCUGGCCCGAGUUGUAAUUUGCAGAGGAUGUUUCUGGCGAGGUGCCUUCCGAGUUCCCUGGAACGGGACGCCAUAGAGGGUGAGAGCCCCGUACGGUUGGUCGCUAAGCCUCUGUGAAACUCCUUCGACGAGUCGAGUAGUUUGGGAAUGCUGCUCUAAAUGGGAGGUGUACGCCUUCUUAAGCUAAAUACCGGCUAGAGACCGAUAGCGCACAAGUAGAGUGAUCGAAAGAUGAAAAGCACUUUGAAAAGAGGGUUAAAAAGUACGUGAAAUUGUUGAAAGGGAAGCGCUCUUGACCAGACUUGCGCCGGUUGAUCAUCCGCCGUUCUCGGUGGUGCACUCUGCCGGCUCAGGCCAGCAUCAGUUCGGUCCGGGGGAUAAAGGCUUCGGGAAUGUGGCUCUCUCCGGGGAGUGUUAUAGCCCGUUGCGUAAUACCCUGGGCUGGACUGAGGUUCGCGCAUCUGCAUGGAUGCUGGCGUAAUGGUUAUCAGUGACCCGUCUUGAAACACGGACCAAGGAGUCGUCUUCGUAUGCGAGUGUUCGGGUGUCAAACCCCUACGCGUAAUGAAAGUGAACGUAGGAGAGAGCUUCGGCGCAUCUCCGACCGAUCCUGAUGUUCUCGGAUGGAUUUGAGUAAGAGCAUACGGGGCCGGACCCGAAAGAAGGUGAACUAUGCCUGUAUAGGGUGAAGCCAGAGGAAACUCUGGUGGAGGCUCGCAGCGGUUCUGACGUGCAAAUCGAUCGUCAAAUAUGGGCAUGGGGGCGAAAGACUAAUCGAACCUUCUAGUAGCUGGUUUCCGC